RNAcentral lists this ribosomal RNA (813 nucleotides) under Beltrania dushanensis. RNAcentral's name for it is "partial large subunit ribosomal RNA". It matches the Rfam family "Eukaryotic large subunit ribosomal RNA", at positions 79 to 919 of the family's 3401-position model. The record is from RNAcentral. Lineage: Eukaryota; Fungi; Ascomycota; Sordariomycetes; Amphisphaeriales; Beltraniaceae.
CCUAGUAACGGCGAGUGAAGCGGGAACAGCUCAAAUUUGAAAUCUGGCCUUCGGGUCCGAAUUGUAAUUUGCAGAGGAUGCUUUUGGUUAGGUACUUUCCGAGUUCCCUGGAACGGGACGCCUUAGAGGGUGAGAGCCCCGUACGGUUGGAUACCGAGCCUUUGUAAAGCUCCUUCGACGAGUCGAGUAGUUUGGGAAUGCUGCUCUAAAUGGGAGGUAAAUUUCUUCUAAAGCUAAAUACCGGCCAGAGACCGAUAGCGCACAAGUAGAGUGAUCGAAAGAUGAAAAGCACUUUGAAAAGAGGGUUAAAUAGCACGUGAAAUUGUUGAAAGGGAAGCGUUUAUGACCAGACUUUUUCCAGGCGAAUCAUCCGGUGUUCUCGCCGGUGCACUUCGUCUGGUUGAGGCCAGCAUCGGUUUCCGUGGGGGGAUAAAAGCGGUGGGAAUGUGACUCCUCCGGGAGUGUUAUAGCCCGCCGUAUAAUACCUCCAUGGGGACCGAGGUUCGCGCAUCUGCAAGGAUGCUGGCGUAAUGGUCAUCAACGACCCGUCUUGAAACACGGACCAAGGAGUCGAACAUUUGUGCAAGUGUUUGGGUGUUAAACCCUCACGCGUAAUGAAAGUGAACGGAGGUGAGAGCCCUUACGGGUGCAUCAUCGACCGAUCCUGAUGUUUUCGGAUGGAUUUGAGUAAGAGCAUAACUGUUCGGACCCGAAAGAUGGUGAACUAUGCGUGGAUAGGGUGAAGCCAGAGGAAACUCUGGUGGAGGCUCGCAGCGGUUCUGACGUGCAAAUCGAUCGUCAAAUCUGCGCAUG